RNAcentral lists this ribosomal RNA (1554 nucleotides) under uncultured Boletellus. RNAcentral's name for it is "eukaryotic LSU rRNA". The stretch from base 943 to 1554 matches the Rfam family "Eukaryotic large subunit ribosomal RNA", at positions 1 to 611 of the family's 3401-position model. The record is from RNAcentral. Lineage: Eukaryota; Fungi; Basidiomycota; Agaricomycetes; Boletales; Boletaceae.
AGGAUCAUUAUUGAAUUGUAGGAAGACCGAGAGUGGAACGGAUUGUUGCUGGCCCUUUGGGCAUUUGUGCACAUCCUACUACACUUUCUGUCGACCUUUUUAACCCAACACACCUGUGCACACGUUGUAGAUCCUCGAAAGAGGCUCUAUGUUUUUAUAUAUACCACAUCUGUCGUAUGGCUACAGAAUGUUAUUAAACGAUCCGUCGAUCAGGCUGGCCCUGGUUGCUCGGUCGGAUUAAAUGAAAUAAAUACAACUUUCAGCAACGGAUCUCUUGGCUCUCGCAUCGAUGAAGAACGCAGCGAAUUGCGAUAAGUAAUGUGAAUUGCAGAUUUCCAGUGAAUCAUCGAAUCUUUGAACGCACCUUGCGCUCCUUGGUAUUCCGAGGAGCAUGCCUGUUUGAGUGUCAUUUAAUUCUCAACCAUGUCUUUAGUUAGACAUGGCUUGGAGUUGGGGGUUGCUGGCGGCCGGAAUGGCUAUCAGCUCCCCUGAAAUGCAUUAGCGAUGGGUUGUCUGGUCUUUGAGACGUGCACGGCCUUCGACGUGAUAAUGAUCGUCGUGGCUGGAGCGUCUUUAGACCAUACAUGAAUAGCCCAAGCUUCUAAUAAAGCCAACAAAGUCGGAUUGGAUCGGUUGGAUUUGGAAUCAUGAGGCUUUAGUUACUAGUCAGUCGUGAGGCUGACGAACACAAAGCAAUCAGCAUCCGGACUUAGUUUUGGAAGGGAGAACGCACUGAGCUUUAGUUACUAGUUAGUCCGUGAGGCUGACGAACGCAAAGCAAAGGGUUAAUAUUCUUUCCAGACUUGGUUUCGCAAGGGAGAACGCACUGAGCUUUAGCUACUAGUUAGUCUGUGAGGCUGACGAACACAAAGCAAAGGGGUUAGUAUUUCUUUCCGGACUAGGAUUCCAUUCUGUUCUGUUCCUUUACGGUUUUCAAAGACUUGACCUCAAAUCAGGUAGGAUUACCCGCUGAACUUAAGCAUAUCAAUAAGCGGAGGAAAAGAAACUAACAAGGAUUCCCCUAGUAACUGCGAGUGAAGCGGGAUGAGCUCAAAUUUUGAAUCUGGCAGUCAUUUCUGGCUGUCCGAGUUGUAAUCUAGAGAAGCGUUUUCCGCGUUGGACCGUGUACAAGUCUCCUGGAAGGGAGCGUCAUAGAGGGUGAGAAUCCCGUCUUUGACACGGACUACCAAGGCUAUGUGAUGCGCUCUCGACGAGUCGAGUUGUUUGGGAAUGCAGCUCAAAAUGGGUGGUAAACUCCAUCUAAAGCUAAAUACAGGCGAGAGACCGAUAGCGAACAAGUACCGUGAGGGAAAGAUGAAAAGAACUUUGGAAAGAGAGUUAAACAGUACGUGAAAUUGCUGAAAGGGAAACGCUUGAUGUCAGUCGCGUGGGCUAGGGAUCAACCUUGCUUGAUUGCUAGGUGCAAUUCCUGGUCUACGGGUCAGCAUCAGUUUUCGUUGCUGUAGAAUGGCAGAGGGAAUGUGGCACUCUUUUGGGAGUGUGUUAUAGACUUUUGUCGUAUGCAGCGGUGGGAACUGAGGAACUCGGCACGGA